GAGGAUUUAGCUUAAAUAAAGUGAUUGAUUUGCGUUCAGUUGAUGUAGGAUAAAAUCUUGCAGUCCUUA
RNAcentral lists this transfer RNA (69 nucleotides) under Varecia variegata (ruffed lemur). RNAcentral describes it as "tRNA-Ala". It matches the Rfam family "tRNA". From Rfam's summary of the family: Transfer RNA (tRNA) molecules are approximately 80 nucleotides in length. Their secondary structure includes four short double-helical elements and three loops (D, anti-codon, and T loops). Further hydrogen bonds mediate the characteristic L-shaped molecular structure. tRNAs have two regions of fundamental functional importance: the anti-codon, which is responsible for specific mRNA codon recognition, and the 3' end, to which the tRNAs corresponding amino acid is attached (by aminoacyl-tRNA synthetases). tRNAs cope with the degeneracy of the genetic code in two manners: having more than one tRNA (with a specific anti-codon) for a particular amino acid; and 'wobble' base-pairing, i.e. permitting non-standard base-pairing at the 3rd anti-codon position. Lineage: Eukaryota; Metazoa; Chordata; Mammalia; Primates; Lemuridae. RNAcentral also lists the same sequence under 2 other names. The record is from RNAcentral.